GGUGAGGUGAAGUAAGGAUGAGGUGAGGUGAAGUAAGGAUGAAGUGAGAUGUAGUAAGGGUGAGGUGAAAUGAAGUAAGAAUGAGGUGAAAUGAAGGAAGGAUGAGGUAAAAUGAAGUGAAGGGGGAGGUGAGAUGGAGUAAGGAUGAGGUGAGGUGAGGUGGAGUAAGGGUGAGGUGAGGGGAAGUAAGGAUCAGGUUAGGUGAAGUAAGGAUGAGGUGAAAUGAAGUGAGGGUGAGGUGGGGUGAAGUAAGGAUGAGGUGAGAUGAAGUAAGGAUGAGUUAAGAUGAAGUAAGGAUGAGGUGAGAUGAAGUAAGGAUGAGGUGAGAUGAAGUAAGGAUAAGGUGAGAUGAAGUAUGGGUGAGUUGAGGUGAAGUAAGUAUGAGGUGAGAUGAAGUAAGGAUGAGGUGAGAUGAAGUUCUUGCCAAAACUGCUAUUUUUGUUAAAACCAGAUAGACAGGAAUAAGGUAAAUAGUAGAAAAUGACAAAACGACAGCCUCAAACCAAACAUGAGAACUUGUGUUGUCUGAGCAAUACUGUCUUACUGUCACUUUUUUAAUUCCAUGGCCUUGCUCUAAGCUCUAUAUAGCUCUUGGAAAAGCCUGCCAGCCACUCUCAUCCCAUGGCCUUGCUCAAAGCUCUAUAUAGCUCUUGGAAAAGCCUGCCAGUCACUCUUUCAUUCCAUGGCCUUGCUCAAAGCUCUAUAUAGCUCUUGGAAAAGCCUGCCAGUCACUCUUUCAUCCCAUGGCCUUGCUCAAAGCUCUGUAUAGCUCUUGUAAAAGCCUGCCAACCACUAUUUCAUCUCAUGGCCUUGCUCUAAGCUCUGUAUAGCUCUUGGAAAAGCCUGCCAGCCACUCUCAUUCCAUCGCCUUGCUCUAAGCUCUAUAUAGCUCUUGGAAAGCCUGCCAGACACUCUUUCAUCCCAUGGCCUUGCUCUAAGCUCUAUAUAGCUCUUGGAAAAGCCAGCCAACCACUAUUUCAUUCCAUGGCCUUGCUCAAAGCUCUAUAUAGCUCUUGGAAAAGCCUGCCAGCCACUCUUUCAUCCCAUGGCCUUGCUCUAAGCUCUAUAUAGCUCUUGGAAAAGCCUGCCAGCCACUCUUUCAUCCCAUGGCCUUGCUCUAAGCUCUAUAUAGCUCUUGGAAAAGUCUGCCAGCCACUCUCAUUCCAUAGCCUUGCUCUAAGCUCUAUAUUGCUCUUGGAAAAGCCUGCCAGCCACUCUUUCAUCCCAUGGCCUUGCUCUAAGCUCUAUAUAGCUCUUGGAAAAGUCUGCCAGCCACUCUCAUUCCAUCGCCUUGCUCUAAGCUCUAUAUUGCUCUUGGAAAGCCUGCCAGACACUCUUUCAUCCCAUGGCCUUGCUCUAAGCUCUAUAUAGCUCUUGGAAAAGCCAGCCAGCCACUCUUUCAUCACAUGGCCUUGCUCUAAGCUCUAUAUAGCUCUUGGAAAAGCCUGCCAGCCACUCUUUCAUCCCAUGGCCUUGCAUAAUAUUCAUAGAGGGUGGACGCUCAUAGUCAAUGCCCUUUUUGAUAAAUUUAUAUCGCCUUAGGCGUAAUAAUCCACUCAGCGCCAGCAUUUUCUAUCUUCACUUCAGGCGAUUCAACCUUGUAUUUUUAAGUGCUCUUUUGUUAUGAAACAUAGCUAAAGCCGCGUGAUUAGCUCUGCGCCCUUGUUUUUGUUUUUCAAUUUUUGGCGUCUUGUUGUCUAAAUCUCAUCAUCCGUUUCCAACUAGACGUCAUUUUUUAUUCAACUUGCUCAUUUGUUGCCUGUUCUGAAGAUGAAAUGCGUAGUUCCUUCUAAAAUUGAAUUAUAUAGUCUCCUAAUUACUUGAAAUGUCGCAUGCCCUGCCGUUUUCAUUUCUGACAAUUACCUCCUGUGCCGAAACAAUUUGUCUUGGUCUGAGUUUGAUAAAGACACGCAUUUUUUUCUAAAAUGUUUCGCAGGUACAAUGCUCAAUUUUCACUGGGUUAGUAAAUUAAGAAUAAAAUUAGCCUUCGAUAUUUCCUUGUAUUUAUUUUUUUAAGUUUCCUAUAAACAUUCCUGUCAUUUCGAUUAUAGCCUACACAAAUUUCAUUAACGUUAUUUUUUGUCCAUCAUUAAAAUUUUACUGAUCGUAGAGGUAACCUUUGGCUAGCUGUAAGGUUUUAUAACUUCGUUUAGGGUUAACACGGUAGAAAAACUACAGACAAGCUGUGGAUGAGAAGGUGGUCUGCGUGGGUGUUAAGGAAAGAACCUUGGGAAUCAUAUCAGCACAGUUUUGAAGUUGUAUGAAAACAAAAAAAUUAGCCCUUUCUCGGAGAAAUAACCCUUGCUUGAUAUUUAACGUUUACUGCAAAAAUUUCUUUUAUCAUAGCACUUGGCAAGUUUUCGUGUUUAUCUGUAACCUAAGUUACUAAAGUACAUUUCUGAUUUUAAGGUGAUUCCUUGGGGAGAAGAUUUUUUCAAAAGGCUGAACAUUGAAAACAGCUUUGCUUCAAGUAAUGUAGUAUUAUGUUUUGUAGGUAAUUCAACGUAAUAAAUGGUUUCCUUGUGUCAUGUUAAUGUUUUCUAAUCCUUCGCUCUUCAAAACAAAGCUUUUCUCCAUCUAGUUUUCUAGGUUUUUAUCUAUUUCUAUGACAGAAUUGAGUCAGUCAAACUGGUGAAUAUUGCGAAAUGUUGGUUGGACUGUCAUCGAGAUCAGCGGUAACCUCCACGUUCUGAGGCGUUAGUUUUAAGAUAUCCAUACGACUAGCACUUUCAUCCUUGCGGCAGAUCUUUCUGCACAGUGAACAGAAACAAAACACGAUAACGCCAACGCAAAUGACCACCAACACACCGAUGAUCCAGUCGAUAAGCGUGUUCCCCGUCGGGUUCUCGACAAACUCCGAACUGUCUCGAGUGGCUUCACGAAUGUUCUCCGAUGAACUCCGAGACUCGUGGGCAAGUACACUUGGAAGACGGAAAAGAUGAAUUGUCAGAAAAGACGCAGGCAAGAACCGAAUUUCGUAUAGCAGUUGAUUAAAUAUUAUCUUGAAUGGCUUCAUCUUCUGAUUAAGGGUCUUCCUCAAGUUAAAUACUUGGUAUCUUCAUGUAAGCCUUUUCAAAAUGAUGUUGAUGGUAACAUAAAAGCAAGCUUGCUUAAAAUUGAAAACUCCAUCUAGGAAAUUGUGAUUGACAAUGGUCUUCGUAUGCUGCCGUCUCUAAACAGUCUUCCGUAGCAGGCGACAGGUUUAUCACUCUCAAAUGUUUCAUAAAUUGUGAGGCUGAAUGACGCCUUCCUGCGUUCCCAUUUAAUCCACCAGCUUUACAGGCUUGCUCAUCUAAUUAAAGCUCCUGCACUUCCUCUUAGGCUCGGUAAGUACGUGCUCUCACGAUUGAUGUUUACCGAUCGCGAGUGGCCACACGGUGUAAUAUGCGAGCUCUAACGGCCCGGUAGGAUUGGAAGAUUGUUAUUUUGUUUUUGUUUUGGUAAAAACUUCCGUCGACUUGCUUUUGCUUUCUUUAUCGUCCUCAGAGUCAAAUAUGAGUCUAGAUAAUGAUAAUCCUCACUCAAUAUUAUCAUGUUAUAAUGUAUAUAUGAAAGAAACUCUUAUCUCAAAUUUAGUGUCUGCUUUCUGUCUUUGGUAGUUUCCUGUGACGUUAUUUGGACCUUGUUAAAAAUACGUAUUUUAAACAUUAUGCCACAUUUGGGUUCCGUGCGAGCAGUUGUGUGCCAUAGAAUGUUUACUUACAUAACUUCCCGUGUUUGUGAGUCGGUAAAGGGUGUUUGCUUGGUACUAUCAUUCUAGGAUUAUACUACACAAAGCAGCCACCUCGUCCCAGGCCUAGCGCGGAUCAGAUCAGUUAUUCUUACGCAGAAAUGAAAUUGGAAUAACAACCUGACAAUUAAGCUGUUAUUACUUAGACAAGCAGAAAUUACGCUUAAUUGAGAUCGUUUUCCCCUUGCUUCCGGCAUUAUUUUCAUUAGUACAUUCAUUUUAAUUAAAUCUUCCUUUCUUUAAUACAUUAUCGUAUUAUAGGAAUAAGCGCUUAGGCAUUUUUUAUCGUGUUGAUUUAUUCUCAAAUAUUUUUAAAAUUUGACCAUAUAUACAUAGAUUUUUUCGCCUUUGUCCACGUUCCAAAACCUGAUGUCUAUCCCGUUACUCGCGUUUUGAUUAGCGACAGAACACAUUCAAUACAGUAGCCAAUCAGCAGAGAUAAACUCUCAACAAAGCGACCAGGUUCUGAAAUCAAAGCGUCAUCUGAAACGUGAGCAAACGCGAAAAAUGUAUCAAGCUCCAGAGAUCCAAAGACAGAGACCAGAGACACAAAUGGUAGAAUUCCCGAAGCACCCUGAAGAUUGUAACGAUAGGCCACUUGAGCUAAGGAUUUUGAAUGGGAAAUUCGCGCAAAAAUAAACCCCAGAAAUAUUCGCUAGAGUACGAAGAAAAUCUAAAAUCUUUCAAUGAAAAUCAGCUCCUUUUUCACACACACAAAAAAAAUUCCGACUGAUACGUAAGCGCUGAAUAAAUUGCAUUUUGUUAUUGUUAUUGGUCACAAAAAGCCUGAUCGCGCAAGAGUUUGCAACCCAAAAAGUCACGUGUUUUUUCAAGUCGCUUAUUACCUAGCCUUGGGCAACCCCUGUUAUUCAGACCACGUGCUACUAUAGUUACAUAAUCAACACUAAAACCGGCUGCUUUAGCUGGAUCUUCAUGAAAUGCCGGAAAAGGGAAAAAGCUUUUCUUACAGUGUUACCUCUCUUAAUAAAGGUUUUUUUAGAACAUGAUGUAGAUAUACAUAUCGAUCCUGAUACACAUAUUUUAAAUACGUUUUCAGUCGAGAAUCCAUGUGUCAGAGCCAGCAGUGGUCCAUGGGUAACGUAAAAAGGGCUGAAUCCUGAUGUCUGAAAACUAUGUGAAUAUUUGCAGGCAAAUGAACAAGAAUACUACAGCUUUGCAAACUUUGACUUGUUCUUAUCUACGCAUAUAUUUGUUUGUAUAUGUUAUAGCCAUGAAGCACUGCGUUCAAUGCGCUGUUUGACCCGUGUAUCCUAGCGACUUGAAUUUGUUGCAGAACACGAAGCGCCAGUUGACCAUUAACUAGUUAACCCAGUUGACCAUUAACUAGUUAAUCCAGUUGACCAUUAACUAGUUAAUCCAGUUGACCAUUAACUAGUUAAUCCAGUUGACCAUUAACUAGUUAAUCCAGUUGACCAUUAACUAGUUAAUCCAGUUAAAGCGCGUAGUCCCUUCCUUUUUUUAAGGGGUUCUAUGUCCCUUGUACUAGCCCCUCCCAAUACAAAACCACUGCGCAAACAGUGCAUUGAAUUGGAAGUAAAUAACGGAGUAUGUGGCGGUUUAUAGGUAGAAUGGUAAAUUUGGAUCAUUACAAAGGUGAGAAAAGUGAAAAUUCGUUCAGUUAUAGCAGAUAUCAAUAGUUUACUAUACAUUUACACAAAUAACCGUUCCGAUUGAAAAUUACAUUUUCAAAUAAAGAUCAUUUAAAAACUGGUCAGGACUAGCGCGAAACUUGCCCCGCCUCCUAAGGCGGAAUAUAAGUAGUGGGGGUGGGGGAUUUUAAUAACGCCUCCACUCCUGACGUAAUUUCGCUGAAAUUUCUCACGUAUAAUGUGUCACAAAUUUAGGAAAUCACGUGACGAGUACUUACCAAUGAACGCUCGCAUAGUAAUCGACCAAUCGUGACUAAUCAAUAAUCCAUAGUUCAUAGUCGGAGUUUUUGAUUUGGCAACUAACAUCUUGAAAACAUUUUUAUGAAAUUAGUGUAAUUGUGUCUCCUGUAAAAGAGACUGCGAAAACGAUUUUUUGACUAAAAGUUCUAGCGACAAAAGUCUUGAGAGGGUAAUUCUCAAUUAGAACAAAGUGUUUCCUCUUGUGUUAUCUGCGGGUAUCUUGUGUUGUUUCCAGCGCCGCAUAACUUUUGUCAGAAACCAAUACAAUUCUAGAUAUGCAGAAGAUUUCAAGGGAUGAAUUCGAAAAACAAAGGCACCGGAGAGCCAGACUUAAAACCACAGAAACAGAGGACAAAAAGUCGACACCCAUCUCUGCAAAUACUCUCCCGAUGAGAUACAAAAUGGACUGAUGAAUGUCGAAUAAUGAGGGGUGUAGCGAGACUGGUUCUGGUGCUAUUAAUGUUUAUUCUUCUAUUUGAUGAAGUGCUAGCUAAGGGAGGCAAGAAAGGAGGAGCGCGAGGUGGGAAAGGUCGAGCGAAACCCAAGAAACUCUGCUGCGGAGCUCUAGGAGGGAUUGACAGCAAAAAGAAAAUGCCGGAUUGGAUGGAAAUACCAGACACGGUAUUUACGACACAGAGCUAGCAGCGAAAGAGUGGAAUCGACUGAUCUCAACCAUGGACACAAUUUGACAAAUGUAUAGCACGACGAAUUGGAGCAUGCUACAAUGACUCGAUGUUAUGUUAUGGCAAGAAAGGAAUACGGAAAGGAAGGAACCAACAAAGUACUUGAUUAGCAUUUGGUGGCAAGGAGAAUGAUAGCGCCGAUUUCCACUCCCGUCGAUUGUAAAUAUUAAUGAAUUGCUGAACAUGAAACAAUGCAGAGAUAUAAAGCGCGCCAAGAUCAUCGUAUAUAAACAGAGUUCCUGAGAUUCUAAAACAAAUGAUAAUGCUAUAAGCAAGGUGGAAUUGAUUAAAAUAACUCGCCAUAUAUUUUCAACACGCUUGUUAUAACUAUUUCGAAACAUUUGUUGCUGUUGUUGUUUUUAAUGGUGAAAACUUGGUGACACAAGGCAGAGAAAUAACCAUUUUUUAUGGCU
Molecule: long non-coding RNA, 6736 nt
Organism: Nematostella vectensis (starlet sea anemone)
Lineage: Eukaryota; Metazoa; Cnidaria; Anthozoa; Actiniaria; Edwardsiidae
Exons: 2
Source: RefSeq, a predicted model, not a curated record